RNAcentral lists this non-coding RNA (173 nucleotides) under Mycoplasmopsis fermentans. RNAcentral describes it as "Mycoplasma fermentans Lysine sequence". It matches the Rfam family "Lysine riboswitch aptamer". From Rfam's summary of the family: Riboswitches are metabolite binding domains within certain messenger RNAs that serve as precision sensors for their corresponding targets. Allosteric rearrangement of mRNA structure is mediated by ligand binding, and this results in modulation of gene expression. Lineage: Bacteria; Bacillati; Mycoplasmatota; Mycoplasmoidales; Metamycoplasmataceae. RNAcentral also lists the same sequence under 1 other name. The record is from RNAcentral.
AGACGCUAUAGAGGAGCUCUUAGUAAUAGUAUAUUAGUUUAGCAGGCAUGUGUUGAGACUAUAUAAAAAGGAUAUAAGAGCCGAACUGGUGAUUGUGGCGGCAAUUACUGGUGGUAACAAUGCAUAACAGUUUGUUACUCUUUGGACCUCAAACCAUUGGUGCUAUAGCUUUG